Molecule: ribosomal RNA, 1509 nt
Filed under: Bacillus sp. B19(2008)
Lineage: Bacteria; Bacillati; Bacillota; Bacilli; Caryophanales; Bacillaceae
Description: 16S ribosomal RNA
Rfam family: Bacterial small subunit ribosomal RNA
Source: RNAcentral
GUUUGAUCCUGGCUCAGGACGAACGCUGGCGGCGUGCCUAAUACAUGCAAGUCGAGCGGACAGAUGGGAGCUUGCUCCCUGAUGUUAGCGGCGGACGGGUGAGUAACACGUGGGUAACCUGCCUGUAAGACUGGGAUAACUCCGGGAAACCGGGGCUAAUACCGGAUGCUUGUUUGAACCGCAUGGUUCAAACAUAAAAGGUGGCUUCGGCUACCACUUACAGAUGGACCCGCGGCGCAUUAGCUAGUUGGUGAGGUAAUGGCUCACCAAGGCAACGAUGCGUAGCCGACCUGAGAGGGUGAUCGGCCACACUGGGACCGAGACACGGCCCAGACUCCUACGGGAGGCAGCAGUAGGGAAUCUUCCGCAAUGGACGAAAGUCUGACGGAGCAACGCCGCGUGAGUGAUGAAGGUUUUCGGAUCGUAAAGCUCUGUUGUUAGGGAAGAACAAGUACCGUUCGAAUAGGGCGGUACCUUGACGGUACCUAACCAGAAAGCCACGGCUAACUACGUGCCAGCAGCCGCGGUAAUACGUAGGUGGCAAGCGUUGUCCGGAAUUAUUGGGCGUAAAGGGCUCGCAGGCGGUUUCUUAAGUCUGAUGUGAAAGCCCCCGGCUCAACCGGGGAGGGUCAUUGGAAACUGGGGAACUUGAGUGCAGAAGAGGAGAGUGGAAUUCCACGUGUAGCGGUGAAAUGCGUAGAGAUGUGGAGGAACACCAGUGGCGAAGGCGACUCUCUGGUCUGUAACUGACGCUGAGGAGCGAAAGCGUGGGGAGCGAACAGGAUUAGAUACCCUGGUAGUCCACGCCGUAAACGAUGAGUGCUAAGUGUUAGGGGGUUUCCGCCCCUUAGUGCUGCAGCUAACGCAUUAAGCACUCCGCCUGGGGAGUACGGUCGCAAGACUGAAACUCAAAGGAAUUGACGGGGGCCCGCACAAGCGGUGGAGCAUGUGGUUUAAUUCGAAGCAACGCGAAGAACCUUACCAGGUCUUGACAUCCUCUGACAAUCCUAGAGAUAGGACGUCCCCUUCGGGGGCAGAGUGACAGGUGGUGCAUGGUUGUCGUCAGCUCGUGUCGUGAGAUGUUGGGUUAAGUCCCGCAACGAGCGCAACCCUUGAUCUUAGUUGCCAGCAUUCAGUUGGGCACUCUAAGGUGACUGCCGGUGACAAACCGGAGGAAGGUGGGGAUGACGUCAAAUCAUCAUGCCCCUUAUGACCUGGGCUACACACGUGCUACAAUGGACAGAACAAAGGGCAGCGAAACCGCGAGGUUAAGCCAAUCCCACAAAUCUGUUCUCAGUUCGGAUCGCAGUCUGCAACUCGACUGCGUGAAGCUGGAAUCGCUAGUAAUCGCGGAUCAGCAUGCCGCGGUGAAUACGUUCCCGGGCCUUGUACACACCGCCCGUCACACCACGAGAGUUUGUAACACCCGAAGUCGGUGAGGUAACCUUUUGGGAGCCAGCCGCCGAAGGUGGGACAGAUGAUUGGGGUGAAGUCUUAACAAGGUAGCCG